CUGGCGCUGCUUCUCAGUAGUCCCCGUGUAACGUUACUCGUCGGCCAGAGUCGGGCGAAGUAGUAACGCCACAAAGGAAGAUGUGCGCAAGCGUAACGCUGGCCUGGUGAAAGGAACAGUUUUUCUGCCAAGAAGGAAACAUCGUUGCUGGGCUACAUUGCUGUCGAAACGACGGCCAUUUUCCAGAGAAGACAUCCUGAAGCAAGUCACCCGAUCCUGCAUUACUAAUGAUGCCAAACGAAAAUGAUCUUACUCUGAAAUUGAACGUUGUAUUCAGUUCAAGCUCAGCUAUGGGCACCUUUAGUUGGAAGCUACUGGUGCAUUUCAUUACUGUUUGAGACGUGGCGAUAUUAUCUGUGCGUUUGUGUGAAAGUCAUGUAAUAAUGAUUUAAAAAGUAAACAAAAGUGUUUGGAAAUA
Long non-coding RNA from Schistocerca piceifrons (Central American locust), 418 nucleotides. RefSeq lists it as uncharacterized. The record is from RefSeq and is a predicted model, not a curated record. The transcript is spliced from 2 exons. NCBI's taxonomy places the organism in Eukaryota, Metazoa, Arthropoda, Insecta, Orthoptera, Acrididae.